Molecule: non-coding RNA, 71 nt
Filed under: Prorocentrum micans
Lineage: Eukaryota; Dinophyceae; Prorocentrales; Prorocentraceae
Source: RNAcentral
AAAAAAAAAAAAAAAAAAAAAAAAAAAUACUUUUUGUCCUUUCCUUAUGACGGGUCGGGGUCCAUUUUUAU